RNAcentral lists this ribosomal RNA (492 nucleotides) under uncultured bacterium. Its description in RNAcentral is "partial 16S ribosomal RNA". It matches the Rfam family "Bacterial small subunit ribosomal RNA", at positions 29 to 507 of the family's 1533-position model. The record is from RNAcentral.
AGUGAACGCUGGCGGUAGGCCUAACACAUGCAAGUCGAACGGCAGCACAGUAAGAGCUUGCUCUUACGGGUGGCGAGUGGCGGACGGGUGAGGAAUACAUCGGAAUCUACUUUUUCGUGGGGGAUAACGUAGGGAAACUUACGCUAAUACCGCAUACGACCUACGGGUGAAAGCAGGGGAUCUUCGGACCUUGCGCGAUUGAAUGAGCCGAUGUCGGAUUAGCUAGUUGGCGGGGUAAAGGCCCACCAAGGCGACGAUCCGUAGCUGGUCUGAGAGGAUGAUCAGCCACACUGGAACUGAGACACGGUCCAGACUCCUACGGGAGGCAGUAGUGGGGAAUAUUGGACAAUGGGCGCAAGUCUGAUCCAGCCAUACCGCGUGGGUGAAGAAGGCCUUCGGGUUGUAAAGCCCUUUUGUUGGGAAAGAAAAGCAGCAGGUUAAUACCCCGCUGUUCUGACGGUACCCAAAGAAUAAGCACCGGCUAACUUCGUG